CCUAAUAGCCUGCUUCCUAGGUGCUAGGAUUGCAGACCGUGCCACCGUGACCAUCUUUCAUGGUCACUGGGGAAGUGGGGAUUGAGGGCAGGAGUGGAGCUGUCUCUCUCUCUGUUCAGUCUUGCCUGGCCUCAAACUCACCAUCCUCCUGCCUUAGCUCUCAACAGCUGGGAUUCUAACCUCAGUCAGGAACAGUUUUGUAGCCGUGUUCAUUUAUCUGUCUAAAAAGCAGUUUGGUGCUAUGCCAGGUAUGAGGAAAAUACUGGGACAGGAGCAAGGCGGGAGGGCUCUGCCCUAGUUUUCCUGGGCCCCGAUGGAUCCUGGAGAGAAGGCCCAAACAGGCCAGCUCUCUGCAGCUGAAAUGGGUGAUAUUUCUGAGUACAGCUUCCCCCGACUUAGUUUCUCAGUGCUCCCUGCUGUGGUUCAAGCCCGUCAGCUGCUCCUUGCCCAGGGGAGGAAGUGCGUAGCCAAAGCAAAAAUAGAGGCAUUUGCCCUGCACUCCAGGAGCUGACAGCUAGCAGAUGCAAGAUACUUAUUAGAAGAUUCCUCCAGAGCUGCCAGAGGGGAAACUUGAAAAGAGGGUUAAUGUUGGAGGGGCCAUGAGCCUGCUUUCUGGGAUACUUCAGGGAGGUCAUGGCGCCCUAAAGGUGAAAUCCUUUAGGUGAAGUCCACAGCCACUUUGCCUUGCUUCCCCCGAGCUCCACAUGGAGGGCACAAAGGAAAGGCUCUGUGGUAUGUCUAAAUCCUACUCUAGUCCUCCUGUACCCCACCCCCUCAGGCACAGACCGCAGCCUCUACUGCUUCCCAGGACACACGAAUCUGGGGCAAUCUAAAUAUAACGACAGCCAAUGGCCAGUGACCCACCUGCACUUGGCAACAAAACUCUUCAGGGCAAAGAGACCAUGACUUUGAUGUAGGUUCCAGCAUCCUCGAAGGAACAGAAGCUUGAGCUGGAGAUCAGUGAGUAGUUUUAAAAUGAAACUUUCUGUCUUUGGUAUCAGAGCUGUCUAAGUUUAUUAGCACAAUAGCCAAGGUGUGAGACCAGUCCGCACAUGAGUGGAAGGGGAAAAUGCAGUCAGGUUCCCAAGGAAAGUUUAUUUUGGGUGUCAAAACAGUGAAAUUAAAGCCUUUGGUGGAAAAUGGGUCGAACUGGAAGUCAUCACCACGCCAGACAAAACAAAUCCACUCAGGAAAACAAAGAAUGCAUGUUUCCUCUCACACGCAGAAUGGAGAUUUAAACUUGCAUGUGUGUCGUAUGUCCAUGUGUCUGAAUGCAUGUGCUCAUCCGUGGAGGACAUGAAAGUACAAUGGGGUGUCCAAGAGGGAGAGAAGACAUCAUCUGAAAGACAACGGAGUCCGUGUGGCACAGAAGCAGGAAGGGGGCUGAAUCAGUCGAGGCUCUCUCAAGGGAGGAAAGCAAUAGGGUAAACACACACACUUCACCACACAUACUUUCAAGACUCCAUUAAGUCAGCUUUAUUUAGUAAGGUCAGAACCAUUCCUGACCGCUGAGAGCACUCGUUUCAGGUUCUUGAGGCUGGCUGUCUCAGCGGGUGGCAGAGUCCCACAAUGGCUGUCUCUCGCUGAGCAAGGUCUGACAAUGGAUGGUUGCUCAAAGCAUCAGAAACCUUCUGCCAGUGAGGUUUCAUACGCAGGUGAUUGUAAUUUGCAGUGAGUCGACCUUAAAACCAACGGUAGUGAACGUCACCCUGUGGGUCUGUUGGGAGUUAAAUGAGAUGGUGCAGCUAGAUCCGGAAUUCGGCGCUCAGGAGAGCUCAGAGGAUGGCCUUCCUGGUUAGCCGGCAUUCAUCAGGAUGACAGCUCACUGUGCUGUCACUCUUCCUGGGUGGUUUUUUUAUUUCACAUUUUCAUAACAGUCUCUGAUGAUUUCAUUCGAAGGAGGAAGGUCUCUGGGAGUUUCCUGUGUGCACAAUGGGGUCACCAGGUUUCCCUAGGCAUGUACCCAAGGAUGCCACCACCAUAUUUGCUUUGGUAUUUAAAAUAAAGGCCACACUGAAUCUCGUGCUUUCGUUGUAACCAAA
This is a non-coding RNA of Rattus norvegicus (Norway rat), 2042 nucleotides long. The record is from RefSeq and is a predicted model, not a curated record. Lineage: Eukaryota; Metazoa; Chordata; Mammalia; Rodentia; Muridae.